GUGAUCAAGUCAAGAUAAAGGAGCAAAGUUUGAAGAAACUCCAGACUUGACGUAUGUAACAAAAAUGUAGAAGGCAGCUCGACUCAGGAAUAAGAUGCAAGCAAGUGCUCUCCCUGCAGAUGAGAAGGGCCUUUAUAUGCGCUGUUGUGGGGAUCCACAGCCUGGCUCCCCCGUCAUCUAUCCACACCUGUGCCCACUUUCAACAAACACCCAUUGGUCCUUCCAUUGAAAGGAAUGAGCUGUUAGGAAAACAGAUCUCCACAUCUGCAAAGGAAAACCACCCAAGCCAGCUAUUCUCAUCAACUUAAUUUUUCGUGGUAACAAAUUUUAAGGGGUGAUCACCAAGUUUCUGAGGAAAAUUAACAGCAUGUCUUAAAAAAGACAAGUCUAAAAUGGAGUUGCUUAUGCUAAGCCCCACAACACCAAACCAAGACUUGAUUACAGUUUUGGCUCUCCCAGAAGUGGAAUCUUAAACCAAUGAAUAACGAGUGACCUGAUGGACCCCCACCAUCCUCCAAAGGAAAGUAACUUUGCAAUAACCAACCCACGUUUUUGCCAGUAUAACUUCAUUGUUCCUGCUCCCUUCUGCCUCGGAGCUCCUUUCUACCCACUAGAUUGGAUGCUGUCUGAUUCAAAUCUAUUUUUGCUCAAAUAAAUUAUUAAAAUUUUUAAUAAGCCUCAGUUUAUCUUUUAACAGUUCUGGGUCAGAAGAAGGAACACAAAGAGACUCCUAACAACCCCAAGGAGAAAUGAGCAAAUUUAUCAUUUCUCAAAAAAAAAAACCUGGGGUAGGCUCCUGUUGAGCCCCUUGAGCUCACUGCCUCUGCAGGUUGUGGGUAAAUUCCUCUCGGAUCCUGAAUCCCAGCCCCAAAGCUUUUGCCUUAUUAUUUUUCAGACGUUAUUUGAGCAUUUUUUUUUCCAGGCUGGUCCAGAAACUGGCCAGAGUUGGACUGGGUCUGACUUAAAAACUAACUGGGUCCAGCGUGAGGGCUUGGAUAAAUAAAAUUUUGUUUUAAGGCUGAACAAGCAAGUUAACGUUACCAAAGAUGAUCUUGCAUUACAGUGGCCACAGGGGAGAACUUUUAACCAUGUUAGAUAAGCUUAUCC
RNAcentral lists this long non-coding RNA (1107 nucleotides) under Equus asinus (donkey). Its description in RNAcentral is "lncRNA (ENSEASG00005032476.1)". The record is from RNAcentral. Lineage: Eukaryota; Metazoa; Chordata; Mammalia; Perissodactyla; Equidae.